UGGAUCCAGACCUUGAUCCUGGCUCAGGACGAACGCUGGCGGCGUGCCUAACACAUGCAAGUCGAACGGAACUGUUUUGAAAGAUUUCUUCGGAAUGAAUUUGAUUUAGUUUAGUGGCGGACGGGUGAGUAACGCGUGAGUAACCUGCCUUCAAGAGGGGGAUAACAUUCUGAAAAGAAUGCUAAUACCGCAUGAUAUAUCGGAACCACAUGGUUUUGAUAUCAAAGAUUUUAUCGCUUGAAGAUGGACUCGCGUCCGAUUAGUUAGUUGGUGAGGUAACGGCUCACCAAGACCGCGAUCGGUAGCCGGACUGAGAGGUUGAACGGCCACAUUGGGACUGAGACACGGCCCAGACUCCUACGGGAGGCAGCAGUGGGGGAUAUUGCGCAAUGUGGGCAACCCUGACGCAGCAACGCCGCGUGAAGGAUGAAGGUUUUCGGAUUGUAAACUUCUUUUAUUAAGGACGAAAAAUGACGGUACUUAAUGAAUAAGCUCCGGCUAACUACGUGCCAGCAGCCGCGGUAAUACGUAGGGAGCAAGCGUUGUCCGGAUUUACUGGGUGUAAAGGGUGCGUAGGCGGCUUUGCAAGUCAGAUGUGAAAUCUAUGGGCUCAACCCAUAAACUGCAUUUGAAACUGUAGAGCUUGAGUGAAGUAGAGGCAGGCGGAAUUCCCCGUGUAGCGGUGAAAUGCGUAGAGAUGGGGAGGAACACCAGUGGCGAAGGCGGCCUGCUGGGCUUUAACUGACGCUGAGGCACGAAAGCGUGGGUAGCAAACAGGAUUAGAUACCCUGGUAGUCCACGCUGUAAACGAUGAUUACUAGGUGUGGGGGGUCUGACCCCUUCCGUGCCGGAGUUAACACAAUAAGUAAUCCACCUGGGGAGUACGGCCGCAAGGUUGCAACUCAAAUGAAUUGACGGA
Molecule: ribosomal RNA, 919 nt
Filed under: uncultured Bacillota bacterium
Lineage: Bacteria; Bacillati; Bacillota
Description: bacterial SSU rRNA
Rfam family: Bacterial small subunit ribosomal RNA
Source: RNAcentral